Oreochromis aureus is the source of this 368-nucleotide long non-coding RNA. RefSeq lists it as uncharacterized. The record is from RefSeq and is a predicted model, not a curated record. Lineage: Eukaryota; Metazoa; Chordata; Actinopteri; Cichliformes; Cichlidae. The transcript is spliced from 3 exons.
UGCAGGUAUCAGGAUGAACAAAACCUAAUUCAUGAUGUGGUGAUACUUGAACUACUACUUAGAUUUUACAUUUAUUUUCAGGGUUCCCAGGCGUGAUUGGCUGUAUAGAUGGCACUCACAUUCCAAUCAUUGCUCCUUCAGUAAAUGAAGGAGACUAUGUGAACAGGAAGUCUUUCCACAGCAUUAAUGUACAGAUCACAUGUGAUGCUGCCAACAUUAUCACAAAUGUGGAAGCCAAGUGGCCAGGCUCUGUUCAUGACUCACGAAUUUUCCGUGAAUGUACACUGAGCACAAAAUUUGGACAUGGAGAGUUCACUGGCUACUUGCUUGGUGAUAGGGGGUAUCCAUGUUUACCCUAUUUGCUUACC